RNAcentral lists this non-coding RNA (480 nucleotides) under Schistocephalus solidus. RNAcentral describes it as "Eukaryotic large subunit ribosomal RNA". It matches the Rfam family "Eukaryotic large subunit ribosomal RNA", at positions 1 to 445 of the family's 3401-position model. The record is from Rfam by way of RNAcentral. Lineage: Eukaryota; Metazoa; Platyhelminthes; Cestoda; Diphyllobothriidea; Diphyllobothriidae.
UGACCUCGGAUCAGUCGUGCUUACCCGCUGAACUGAAGUUCAUAACUAACCAGAGAAAAAGAAACUAAUCAGGAUCACCCAAGUAACGGCGAGUGAAGGAGGAAUAGCCCAACACUGAAGCCAGCGGAAGGUUUACUGCUAGACAAUCUGGUGUUUGGAUCGACUCGUAGGAUUGCAACUCCACUCGAAGUCCAGCAAUGAGUAUGGUUCACUGGAUUUGGCCCAGAGAGGGUGAAAGGCCCGUACGAGUGCAGGUUCAGACAUGUGAGGCAGUUUACCAGGGCGACAUUCGAGUCGGGUUGUUUGAGAAUGCAGCCAAAAGUAGGUGCUUAAAUCCAUCAAAGGCUGAAUACAAGUCCGAUAGCGAACAUAAAAAGUGAGGGAAAUGUGAAAAUAACUUUAAAAAGAGAGAGAGAGAGAGAGUAAACAGUACGUGAAACCGUAUAAAGGUAACCGAGUGGCAUCAAGCAACAAGCCCAG